RNAcentral lists this long non-coding RNA (249 nucleotides) under Lathyrus oleraceus (garden pea). RNAcentral describes it as "Pisum sativum (pea) long non-coding RNA (PSAT_LNC007420)". Lineage: Eukaryota; Viridiplantae; Streptophyta; Magnoliopsida; Fabales; Fabaceae. The record is from RNAcentral.
AAUAGCUGGGCUUACAUCCGACUCCAAACAAAGGCAAACAAGGAAACGGAAUGCCAAUAGAUGGGCUUACAUCCGACUCCAAACAAAAAAACAAUCGCUAACCAGCGAACGCCAAAGGUUCUCCAACUGACAAACUAAAAGGGAGUCUGGAACUCGGGCCUAAUAGCUGUCACACAAACACCAAGAAGACGCUGAGACGUCAAAAGAAACAAAGAGAUUGAACACACAGACUAAAAGGGAGUCGGGAAC